This 1297-nucleotide long non-coding RNA is filed under the name Bemisia tabaci. RNAcentral describes it as "lncRNA ENSSWEETPG001153". The record is from RNAcentral. Lineage: Eukaryota; Metazoa; Arthropoda; Insecta; Hemiptera; Aleyrodidae.
GGGUUUUAAAGUGUUUCUAAAUCAGAAGAAUACUGCGUUGGAAGUAAGUUAAAUUAUUUUGUAGCAAAUAGUUCUGUCACCAUUCAAACCCUGACCACACUUAAUAUUUUACAUUUUUUGUAUGUUUUCCCCUGCAACCAAACGUCUGUCUUGUUUUUUGCAUUUUUCCCAUCAAAUCCUUAGCUCUUGCUUGCAAAAACAUGCACACAUCAUCUUGCCUGAACUGUGCUCCAAUAUAUGUUUUGUGCCCCGCAGUACUUAGUUUUUCCCAUGUCCCAUAGAACUCUGAAAUUAUGAUGCCUCUUACCAGUAGGUCAGUAUACUAGCAUCAAAUUAGAACCCUCUUAAUCAAAAGGAAAAAAGUGGACUUAAAUGUAUGGAAUACAUGAAGAACGUGUGGUGAUCAGGGAAAUCCUCUUGUGAGUUUCCGUAGCGUUUCGGGCUAGAGUGAGAGGUGGGAUCGCGCCUCUCACUCUGGCCCGAAACGCUACGGAAUUCACGAGAGGAUUUCCCUGAUCACCACAAACGACCAGAUUUCAAAUACGUUUUAAAAUCCUCAAAACAAAUCACAAGUGAAAAAAUGAAUUUUAGGUUGAUUCUGUUCCAAAGGGAUAAGAGGUAUUCUUUUUAAAUCCAAGUCUCGUGACAGAAUUGCAGCUAUUUAUUUGCAUUUCAUAGAAAACAGAAAUCUUGAGCUCUUCAUAAUUUACAUUAUUUUGACAGCUCUCCCCGAUAAAAAGCACACCAAUUCUUUGCUCUGAAUCUCGCCAAAAUUAUGGGAAAAUACUUAGUAUACUGACCUGCAUAAUAUUCGUAAAUCUGGUUUUGUCCCCUCUGGAAUGAUCCAACCUCGUAACUGUGAAGAAAGCCUGAUUAUAUUUUUUCAAAGUAUACACUGCCCAUUGUUCUCUGUUGUUAAUGUUGCAUUUUGUUACUCGUAUUUCCUUGUAGAAACCCGAAACAAAACCCCAAGAGGAAGCUAAAAAACCCUUAGAAAACCCCAAACCUAGCGAACCCAAGCAGCCAGAAAAGAAACCAACCCUUGAGAAACCUGAGGAGAAACCGAAAUCAACUCUCGGUCUGAAAAAACCAUCAGUCAAGGUAAAUGAGCGUUGUUUUUUACCAUCGUGGCACUUGUUCAAAAUAAGAAUAACGUAUCCCAAAAAAAGGGGGUACAUAUUAGUAGAUGUCUUCCUCAAACAGGAAAAGAAUGUAAAGUUUGAUCGAGCUUGCCGGCCGUAAUUCUGUCCAAGUUUUAUCACAGGCACAAUUUACUCAGAGUUUGCUUUUACUAGAG